Molecule: long non-coding RNA, 2195 nt
Filed under: Homo sapiens (human)
Lineage: Eukaryota; Metazoa; Chordata; Mammalia; Primates; Hominidae
Description: non-protein coding TRAF3IP2-AS1:5
Source: RNAcentral
CGGAAGGGGCGGCGGAGCACCGAUCUCAUGGAUGGGCUCCGAGGGGCUUGCGGGAGGGGGGCGCCAGUGUUCGGGGCCGUUUUGGCGGCUAUGCAGGAUUGGCAGGAGCUGCGAUGCUCACACUUGCCUCGCCGACCGCCAUUUCACAUCCAGCAGAGGAGGCGGGGGCAGCCGCUGAGACGGUUUUUCACAAGGAAAUGACCUCAUUCUUGAUGGCUGCUGCUAACUUAUGGUGAGAUGCUGGGUCCCUGCCCAAUACCACAUGGACAUCCAAUCAAUUUACCCAGGGACAAGUCCACUCAAGAGCAUCAUUUAGAAGAGGGAAAAGGCACUGGGGUUAUUUGUUUUUGGAGUAUGUGCUUAAGGAAAUCUAGAGUAUUCCCACGAGCAUUCUGCUGAGAUGAACAAUCAGAUGACCUCGUGUGAGAUUUGGAGGAGAGAAGGAAAUGGAGAGCAUGCGUCUGCCGCUUCUGUGGUUUCUGUCGGUAAGCACAGUGAUGAGGUGCUGAGUUUUCCCCAGAAGGCCUCCCAGUGUCCUAUUACCAGCUUCACAAGCGUCGAGGGCAGGGCAUGGGCAUCUAUUGUUCACCAGUGGAGAUCUAUCUGGCACAGAACCGAUCCAACCAUUGCAGUGGUCACAGCGGUGUUGGCUUUCUGAUUCUCAACCUUCCUGACCGCCAGAGGAGACAGCCUCUUUGGUGGCCCUGUUCUGUGGUAUUGUGCUAACCGGUGGUGGGACUAAAACUGUCUCUAUAAUGUUUUAUUUCUUAAAAAAAAAUUCUGAAGCAAAUGUGACAAUAUGUUAACAUUCUUAAAAUCUGGGUAGUGGGAACAUGGAUGUUGUUAUUUGUGGUGUGUUUGAAAUUGUGUCAUAUUAUAAAUUUUAAAAAAAUGUUUUGACUACAAAAUCUCUAUGUAUAUGCCCAGUUUUUGUAGAUUGUUGCUUACGCUUUUCAUAUUUUUACCCAAGGAGUAAUCAGGAAUUCUAAAAGUCUUAUGUAACAGGAUUUAAAAUAAAAUUACACAGAAUCUCAACUGUACUAUAUUUUGAAAAUAUGAAUGAUUAAGAUUAUUUUUUAUAUUUUUAUUAAUAUAGAGAAAAUAAUUUCUAUAAAAUAUGCUUUCAGCUAAUGGGGGAUCCCAUUCCAUAUUUUUUUCUUUUUCUUUUUUUUUUUUAUUUCUCCAAGAAAAACUCAUUCCAGUUCUUUUGCAUUAAAUUCUCUUAUACCAAAAAAAUUGUUUCAAAAGUUGCUUAGUUGUUAUAGAAGAUGAUUGCUUAUAUGAUAAAGAAAUGUUAAGGCCUUGAUAAUAUUCAAAAGCUUCUGUAUAAAAACAAUACCAUGGAAAUUAAUGACAGAGUAAACUUUCUGAAUUAAAGUUCUCUUUCAAACUAUGAGUAAGAGGAGAAUUAGCUGGCUUCUUUUUUCUUUUUUUUGAGGCAGGGUCUUGCUCUGUCACCCAGGCUCAAUCACAGCUCACUGCAGCCUUGACCUCCUGGGCUCAGGUGAUUUUCCCACCUUAGCCUCCUGAGUAGCUGGGACCACAGGCAUGAGCCACCACACCUGGCUAAUUUUUGUAUUAUUUUGGUAGAGAUGGGAUUUCGCCAUGUUGCCCAAGCUGGUCACAAACUUCCUGCCUUGGCCUCCCAAAGUGCUGGGAUUACAGGCAUGAGCCACUAUGCCCAACCUCAGUUGGAUGGGUUUGUGUGUAUGUGUGUGUGUGUUUUGUUUGUUUUUUAGUUUUUGAGACAGAGUCUCACUCUGUCACCCAGGCUGGAGUGCAGUGGCACAAUCACGGCUCACUGCAGCCAUGACCUCUUGUGCUCAGGCAGUUCUCCUGCCUCAGCCUCCUUAGUAGCUGGAACCACAGGUAUGUGCCACCACACCCGGCUAAUUUUUGUAUUUUUUUGUAGAGAUGGGUUUUCGCUAUGUUGCCCAGGCUGGUCUCAAAUUCCUGGGCUCAAACAAUCCACCCACCUCUGCCUCCCAAAGUGCUGGGAUUACAGGUGUGAGCCACCAAGCCCAGCCUAGCUCCUCUACCUGAACUUAUUUUUCAUUAUCCUAAAGUGAUAAAAUAGAUCAAGAAGAUCAGAACAGGCUUAAAUUGAUGCUAUAAAACCAAUUACUCUGUAUUAUCUUUGCAACUCUUUUGUAAGUCUAAAAUUGUUUGAAAAUAAAAGUUUAUUUUAAAAAUUA